AUUGAACGCUGGCGGCAGGCCUAACACAUGCAAGUCGAGCGGAUGAAGGGAGCUUGCUCCUGGAUUCAGCGGCGGACGGGUGAGUAAUGCCUAGGAAUCUGCCUGGUAGUGGGGGAUAACGUCCGGAAACGGGCGCUAAUACCGCAUACGUCCUGAGGGAGAAAGUGGGGGAUCUUCGGACCUCACGCUAUCAGAUGGGCCUAGGUCGGAUUAGCUAGUUGGUGGGGUAAAGGCCUACCAAGGCGACGAUCCGUAACUGGUCUGAGAGGAUGAUCAGUCACACUGGAACUGAGACACGGUCCAGACUCCUACGGGAGGCAGCAGUGGGGAAUAUUGGACAAUGGGCGAAAGCCUGAUCCAGCCAUGCCGCGUGUGUGAAGAAGGUCUUCGGAUUGUAAAGCGCUUUAAGUUGGGAGGAAGGGCAGUAAGUUAAUACCUUGCUGUUUUGACGUUACCAACAGAAUAAGCACCGGCUAACUUCGUG
RNAcentral lists this ribosomal RNA (484 nucleotides) under uncultured bacterium. RNAcentral's name for it is "partial 16S ribosomal RNA". It matches the Rfam family "Bacterial small subunit ribosomal RNA", at positions 30 to 507 of the family's 1533-position model. The record is from RNAcentral.